GACGAACGCUGGCGGCGUGCUUAACACAUGCAAGUCGAACGGAAAGGCCCUGCUUUUGUGGGGUGCUCGAGUGGCGAACGGGUGAGUAACACGUGAGUAACCUGCCCUUGACUUUGGGAUAACUUCAGGAAACUGGGGCUAAUACCGGAUAGGAGCUCCUGCUGCAUGGUGGGGGUUGGAAAGUUUCGGCGGUUGGGGAUGGACUCGCGGCUUAUCAGCUUGUUGGUGGGGUAGUGGCUUACCAAGGCUUUGACGGGUAGCCGGCCUGAGAGGGUGACCGGCCACAUUGGGACUGAGAUACGGCCCAGACUCCUACGGGAGGCAGCAGUGGGGAAUAUUGCACAAUGGGCGGAAGCCUGAUGCAGCAACGCCGCGUGCGGGAUGACGGCCUUCGGGUUGUAAACCGCUUUCGCCUGUGACGAAGCGUGAGUGACGGUAAUGGGUAAAGAAGCACCGGCUAACUACGUGCCAGCAGCCGCGGUGAUACGUAGGGUGCGAGCGUUGUCCGGAUUUAUUGGGCGUAAAGGGCUCGUAGGUGGUUGAUCGCGUCGGAAGUGUAAUCUUGGGGCUUAACCCUGAGCGUGCUUUCGAUACGGGUUGACUUGAGGAAGGUAGGGGAGAAUGGAAUUCCUGGUGGAGCGGUGGAAUGCGCAGAUAUCAGGAGGAACACCAGUGGCGAAGGCGGUUCUCUGGGCCUUUCCUGACGCUGAGGAGCGAAAGCGUGGGGAGCGAACAGGCUUAGAUACCCUGGUAGUCCACGCUGUAAACGGUGGGUACUAGGUGUGGGGUCCAUUCCACGGGUUCCGUGCCGUAGCUAACGCUUUAAGUACCCCGCCUGGGGAGUACGGCCGCAAGGCUAAAACUCAAAGGAAUUGACGGGGCCCCGCACAAGCGGCGGAGCAUGCGGAUUAAUUCGAUGCAACGCGUAGAACCUUACCUGGGUUUGACAUGGAUCGGGAGUGCUCAGAGAUGGGUGUGCCUCUUUUGGGGUCGGUUCACAGGUGGUGCAUGGCUGUCGUCAGCUCGUGUCGUGAGAUGUUGGGUUAAGUCCCGCAACGAGCGCAACCCUUGUUCACUGUUGCCAGCACGUUAUGGUGGGGACUCAGUGGAGACCGCCGGGGUCAACUCGGAGGAAGGUGGGGAUGACGUCAAGUCAUCAUGCCCCUUAUGUCCAGGGCUUCACGCAUGCUACAAUGGCUGGUACAGAGAGUGGCGAGCCUGUGAGGGUGAGCGAAUCUCGGAAAGCCGGUCUCAGUUCGGGUUGGGGUCUGCAACUCGACCUCAUGAAGUCGGAGUCGCUAGUAAUCGCAGAUCAGCAACGCUGCGGUGAAUACGUUCCCGGGGCU
Molecule: ribosomal RNA, 1346 nt
Filed under: uncultured bacterium
Lineage: Bacteria
Description: partial 16S ribosomal RNA
Rfam family: Bacterial small subunit ribosomal RNA
Source: RNAcentral